This 354-nucleotide ribosomal RNA is filed under the name Triticum aestivum (bread wheat). RNAcentral describes it as "partial small subunit ribosomal RNA". Lineage: Eukaryota; Viridiplantae; Streptophyta; Magnoliopsida; Poales; Poaceae. The record is from RNAcentral.
AUGGCGUCCGGCUUGGUUGUUGUAUCCCAGCCACUGGCUUCCGCUCCAGCCAUUUCCUCUCCUAUAAAUGCCAGCCCUUCCCUCCUCCUUGCAGCACCAGCAGCUAACGCCGAGCACUUCGUCUCACUCUCACCACCUCAAGCGAUGGCCUCCGGCGGCGGCAUGGCAGCGCUUCUGAGGAACAAGAUGUUCGUCUCCUGCGUGAUGCUCCUCGUGGUCCUCCUGAUGGCCACGCAGAUAGCGGCGGCGGGCGGCGGGGCACGCCGGCUCCUGUGGUGCGGCUAUAGAAACUGCAACUGCCGCACUUGCCCCAUAUAUGGGUGGGCGUGCUGCGGCAUGUGUUGCCCGCCGUAG